This 479-nucleotide unclassified non-coding RNA is filed under the name Hevea brasiliensis (rubber tree). Lineage: Eukaryota; Viridiplantae; Streptophyta; Magnoliopsida; Malpighiales; Euphorbiaceae. The record is from RNAcentral.
ACUUAUGUUAAUUUGGAUCAUCCAUCUAAUUGUUGGAGUUAUAAAAUUUUAUUAAGAUCUUGAAUUGUCUUAAUUAAAUAUUUUUCUAAGUUUUAUGAUGUAGUUCAUGUUGAAAUUUGAAAUUUGAAAUCCUGUUAUGAUGUAAUGCUAGCAUGAAGAACUUAUACAUGUGUGGAUCAAUUGUUAAUUUGAGGAGCACCUGACACCUCGCCUGAAAAUCUACAGAUUACACUUCUUCCAAUGAAAUUAUUUGAAUAGAUAUUUGAGAAUUUUAUGCGUGGUAGUUUUCUGAGCUUAUUCUCUUAAUGAUAUAUUUAUAGAAAAAAGCUGGGAAUCAUAUGACACAGACUACAAUACCACCUUUGGAAUUGUAUAGGUGUGCCUGUCAUUUGACAUAAUUUAUAACUUCAAAAACUGUGUUUCAUUGAACUUAACAUUACUGGGACUUCGUUUUAUGCUGUUACAAAUGUCUUCUUCAA